Burkholderia sp. SRS-W-2-2016 is the source of this 75-nucleotide small RNA. It matches the Rfam family "Burkholderia sRNA 54". From Rfam's summary of the family: Identified by RNA-seq, RACE and Northern blot. Strongly expressed in biofilm. NCBI's taxonomy places the organism in Bacteria, Pseudomonadati, Pseudomonadota, Betaproteobacteria, Burkholderiales, Burkholderiaceae. The record is from Rfam.
ACGUCUCUCAGGUUCUGGCCAACAUCCUCGGACGCCAGAAUCUUUAGGCCGGCACUUCGUGCCGGCCUUUUUUUU